This 29-nucleotide non-coding RNA is filed under the name Homo sapiens (human). Lineage: Eukaryota; Metazoa; Chordata; Mammalia; Primates; Hominidae. The record is from RNAcentral.
UGCCAAUGUCUCGCUGACUAAGGGUGGAC